RNAcentral lists this transfer RNA (72 nucleotides) under Marmota monax (woodchuck). RNAcentral's name for it is "tRNA.Ala". Lineage: Eukaryota; Metazoa; Chordata; Mammalia; Rodentia; Sciuridae. The record is from RNAcentral.
GUGGGAUUGUGGCUCAGCGGUAGAGCACUCCCCUAGCACGGGCAGGACCCGGGUUCGAUCCUCAGCACCACA